Molecule: ribosomal RNA, 352 nt
Filed under: uncultured bacterium
Lineage: Bacteria
Description: bacterial SSU rRNA
Rfam family: Bacterial small subunit ribosomal RNA
Source: RNAcentral
UGAGAGUAACUACCCAUAGUAUUGCGAAGAAGGCAUUCUUUUUUGCAAUUAAACCUACGGGCUAUAAGGUCGGUGUGCGUUAGAUUAGCUAGAUGGUGGGGUAACGGCUCACCAUGGCAACGAUCUAUAAGGGCGUGAGAGCGUGAUCCCUCACACGGGUACUGAGACACGGACCCGACUCCUACGGGAGGCAGCAGUAAGGAAUAUUGGUCAAUGCCCGGAAGGGUGAACCAGCCACGCCGCGUGGAGGAUGAAGGCGCUAUGCGUUGUAAACUUCUUUAGAAUGGGAAGAAAAUUAGAUAUUCAUAUUUAACUGACGGUACCAUUAGAAUAAGCACCGGCUAACUCCGUG